GACGUAGGGCGCGAGCGUUGUCCGGAUUUAUUGGGCGUAAAGAGCUCGUAGGCGGCUUGUCGCGUCGUCCGUGAAAACCUGGGGCUCAACUCCAGGCUUGCGGUCGAUACGGGCAGGCUCGAGUUCGGUAGGGGAGACUGGAAUUCCUGGUGUAGCGGUGAAAUGCGCAGAUAUCAGGAGGAACACCGGGUGGCGGAAGGCGGGUCUGCGUGGGCCGAUACUGACGGCUGAG
Molecule: ribosomal RNA, 232 nt
Filed under: uncultured bacterium
Lineage: Bacteria
Description: partial 16S ribosomal RNA
Rfam family: Bacterial small subunit ribosomal RNA
Source: RNAcentral